This 404-nucleotide ribosomal RNA is filed under the name uncultured bacterium. Its description in RNAcentral is "bacterial SSU rRNA". It matches the Rfam family "Bacterial small subunit ribosomal RNA", at positions 28 to 426 of the family's 1533-position model. The record is from RNAcentral.
GAUGAACGCUAGCGGCAGGCUUAAUACAUGCAAGUCGAGGGGCAGCAGGUCUGUAGCAAUACAGAUGCUGGCGACCGGCAAACGGGUGCGGAACACGUACACAACCUUCCUUUAAGUGGGGAAUAGCCCAGGGAAACUUGGAUUAAUACCCCGUAAAAUUAUGAAGUGGCAUCACUUUAUAAUUAAAGCUCAGGCGCUUAAUGAUGGGUGUGCGGCUGAUUAGGUAGUUGGCGGGGAACGGCCCACCAAGCCUGCGAUCAGUAACUGGUGUGAGAGCACGACCAGUCACACGGGCACUGAGACACGGGCCCGACUCCUACGGGAGCAGCAGUAAGGAAUAUUGGUCAAUGGACGCAAGUCUGAACCAGCCAUGCCGCGUGGAGGAUGAAGGUCCUCUGGAUUGU